CCUACGGGCGGCAGCAGUGGGGAAUAUUGCGCAAUGGGCGAAAGCCUGACGCAGCGACGCCGCGUGAGGGAUGAAGGUCUUCGGAUCGUAAACCUCUGUCAGCAGGGAAGAACGGUCACUGUGCUAAUCAGCAGUGAAUUGACGGUACCUGCAAAGGAAGCACCGGCUAACUCCGUGCCAGCAGCCGCGGUAAUACGGAGGGUGCGAGCGUUAAUCGGAAUUACUGGGCGUAAAGCGCUCGUAGGCGGUAUGUCAAGUCAAGGGUGAAAUCCCCGGGCUCAACGUGGGAACUGCCUUUGAAACUGGCAGACUGGAGUGUGUGAGAGGAUGGUGGAAUUCCAGGUGUAGGAGUGAAAUCCGUAGAUAUCUGGAGGAACAUCAGUGGCGAAGGCGACUAUCUGGCACAUAACUGACGCUGAGGAGCGAAAGCGUGGGUAGCAAACAGGAUUAGAUACCCUAGUAGUC
This 465-nucleotide ribosomal RNA is filed under the name uncultured bacterium. RNAcentral describes it as "partial 16S ribosomal RNA". It matches the Rfam family "Bacterial small subunit ribosomal RNA", at positions 338 to 795 of the family's 1533-position model. The record is from RNAcentral.